GAUGAACGCUGGCGGCGUGCCUAAUACAUGCAAGUCGAGCGAACAGACGAGGAGCUUGCUCCUCUGACGUUAGCGGCGGACGGGUGAGUAACACGUGGAUAACCUACCUAUAAGACUGGGAUAACUUCGGGAAACCGGAGCUAAUACCGGAUAAUAUAUUGAACCGCAUGGUUCAAUAGUGAAAGACGGUUUUGCUGUCACUUAUAGAUGGAUCCGCGCCGCAUUAGCUAGUUGGUAAGGUAACGGCUUACCAAGGCAACGAUGCGUAGCCGACCUGAGAGGGUGAUCGGCCACACUGGAACUGAGACACGGUCCAGACUCCUACGGGAGGCAGCAGUAGGGAAUCUUCCGCAAUGGGCGAAAGCCUGACGGAGCAACGCCGCGUGAGUGAUGAAGGGCUUCGGAUCGUAAAACGCUGUUAUUAGGGAAGAACAAAUGUGUAAGUAACGAUGCACGUCUGGACGGUACCUAAUCAGAAAGCCACGGCUAACUACGU
Molecule: ribosomal RNA, 496 nt
Filed under: uncultured bacterium
Lineage: Bacteria
Description: partial 16S ribosomal RNA
Rfam family: Bacterial small subunit ribosomal RNA
Source: RNAcentral